GAUGAGUUUUAUUGGAGUCUCACUUCUUCGGGGAAUUUCCCCGUUAAAAUGGGGUAUAAUUUGCUUACAGGGGUGUCUUCAUCUUCCAGUUCCUGCCGGCGAAGAUGCGUGGAAAUAGCAAGGUCCACAACGGGUUAGAUCCUUUCUUUUGUUAACGGCACAUGAUAAAUUACUGACCACUGUGAAAGAACUCGACAUCAUUUGUGUGAAGUUGGAGAAUGUCA
Molecule: unclassified non-coding RNA, 224 nt
Filed under: Hevea brasiliensis (rubber tree)
Lineage: Eukaryota; Viridiplantae; Streptophyta; Magnoliopsida; Malpighiales; Euphorbiaceae
Source: RNAcentral